RNAcentral lists this signal recognition particle RNA (295 nucleotides) under Pongo abelii (Sumatran orangutan). It matches the Rfam family "Metazoan signal recognition particle RNA". Rfam says of the family: The signal recognition particle (SRP) is a universally conserved ribonucleoprotein. It is involved in the co-translational targeting of proteins to membranes. The record is from RNAcentral. Lineage: Eukaryota; Metazoa; Chordata; Mammalia; Primates; Hominidae.
GCCAGGUGCAGUGGGGCAUUCCUGUAGUCCCAGCUACUCGGGAGGCUGAGGCAGGAGGAUCGCUUGACCCAGGAGUUCUGGACUAUAGCGCACUGCGCCGAUCAAGUGUCUGCACUAAGUUUAGCAUCAAUAUGGUGACCUCUUGAGAGCAGGAUGACCAAGUUGCCUAAAGAGGGGUGAACUGGCCCAGGUCAGAAGUGGAGCAGGUCAAAACUCCUGUGCUGAUCAGCAGUGAGAUUGUGCGUAUGAAUAGCCACUGCACUCCAGCCUGGGCAACAUAGUGAGACCUGUCUCU